UCCAUUUAUUUUCAAAGACAAAUUACAAUUUGUAUAGGCCACUUCAUGAGAAAAUUACAUAAAUUAUUACAUAAAAAACAUAUAAUCAUACCACAUAAAAACAUGAAAUCAUCACAUUAACGUCUUACAAAUAAUUCUCCAUAUUAAAGGCAAAAUAUUCAUCAUUAGUAUAAAGACAGGUUUCUUAUUAGAAAAUCCUUAAUUUUAAGUUUAUAUUCACUCACUAGUAAGCCUCUUUAUAUGUAACGGUAACUGAUUAUAAAACCUAAUAAUUGCACAAGCCCUAAAACUCAUAUGACUAGAUUUAAACCGACAAUAUUCGUUUCUAUGUUCAACCUAUUUCUUGUGUUGUGCGAAUAAACAUCAAAAUGACUAGAGAAUGAGAGCAAAUUAAUCUUUAUAAAUAAUAAACAUUGAAAAAUAAAAAUACAUGUCAAACACAUAAUUCUCAAUCUAACAAAUAGCGGUUUGCAGUGCUUAAGGGGAGAAACAUUACCGUAUACAUGGUUCUUAUUGCUCUUUUUUGUAACACAAAACGUGAAUGGAAAUCACUACAAUUGGCCCAUAAUAUUGUUUCCAUACAAAAGGUGUGAAUGAACGUAACUAUAGUAGACAUUUACUAAAAAAUUUACUAGGAAAAGACACACUAUUUCCUUUUAUCUUCUCAACAUAAAAACACCUCUUGUUACCUUGCGUUGGGGAUAGUGCAGUCAAUAAAAUAAUGGCAAUAAUUAUAUACAAACACAUACCAAAAAAAUUGUGACUGUGGGAACUUUUUGUAUGAUGAAUGACUUCAUUGACAUUCUCUACACAAUACAAAUAAAUAAUAUAUUAACAGUGUACAGUUAAAAUGUUUAAUAAGUCUAAAUCUAUCCAACUCGACUGUAGUUUCAUAUGCAAUUCAAUUUGUAAGUAAUAUCACAAACAAAAUUAUUAAAUAGUCGGCAUGAUCUAGUCUAGCCUACUCCUAUAGACCUACUUUUAUAUUUUGUAUCCUCAGUCGAUUCUGAACAUUCUAGAGGUUAUUUCAAUGAGAUAAAUAUUCUCACACAUACCUCAUUCAAUUUUCGUAAAAGUACCAAUUGGAAUGAUAAUUUUAUAUUGAUAGAAAUCAAUUUGAAAAAAAAAACACAUCUAUUCCUGCAGUGGCAGACUGGCUCUUCUUGAAAUCUUGCCUCUCUCUGUCAUGGCUGCCCUUAGUUCGCCGUGUAACACAUUGAGAGCGCUGUAAGCACACCAACAGCCACUCUAUAGUUUACUAUAAUAGCUCGUUGCUACUUGCUAGUGGUAAAACUGCUUACGAAUACGAAAAGGCAGUCGCCAUUGCCAUUUUUGCUCUAUCCCAUCCCAUCUUUCACACGCGUUUACAUUGAAUUUGAUAGUUUUGCUACUGUAAUUUUAAUUAAAUAGCAAUUAUGGGGGGUUGUUCCUAAUUGUUGUAAUAAUAAUGCCAAAGGCUUUUGAACGUUUCGUUUUCCGUCUAGUAGUUCAAGAAGAAGUAAAAUUUAGCUACAACAUUUUAGACGUACCAACUACCAAGUAAAAACCAACUUUCAGACUGAGGUUAUGAAAACUAGUGGAAUUGUUGGAUCUUCAAAUAUUAGUGGAACCUGUGAAACUGGCAAAUGUGAUGUAGAGGAUGGAGUUGCACAUAUUCAUGAGUUGAUAUUUUCAAUU
This is a long non-coding RNA of Nilaparvata lugens (brown planthopper), 1677 nucleotides long. RefSeq lists it as uncharacterized. The record is from RefSeq and is a predicted model, not a curated record. NCBI's taxonomy places the organism in Eukaryota, Metazoa, Arthropoda, Insecta, Hemiptera, Delphacidae. The transcript has 3 exons.